UGUAGGGUGUUGACAUCUUUGUUGUAACGUAAGCGUAGAUAAUGACAGAAAGCUAGUGACUGUGACGUUCGAUUGAAAACGUUACUCCAUUUAGAUCGGCUGAGAGCUUACAAAUGUAACGUUUAUUUGCACUCGAUUGCAAGUAAACCUGUUUGGUAAUAGUCUUCGGACACUUUUUAUUUCAUUGGCAGCAUUUUCUGUUUUUCAUUUAGGAGACGAGCCAUCUAACAAUGUGUCACUGAGUUUAUCCACAUUGGAAGACGACGUGCCUCAGUGGACAAAUGUUCUUCAGAUCGGGACUUUGUCGUCAGUUUUAUCUCAAGUAGUGCUUCAAACAAUCGAAUGUUUAGCGGAUACAAGGUGGGAACUACGAAGGAUGGGACAGCAGGUAAGUCGGUACUGUGUAACAUUAUCUUUUCAUUGACAAAAAUUGAGUAGAGAAUUUAUAGUAUAGCAAUGGAAUGUUUGGAAUGCUGGAAACACUCAAGUACUUGCCCCUGGACGUUAUAUCUCGAAAAGAAAUGGAGGAUCACACG
This is a long non-coding RNA of Orbicella faveolata, 536 nucleotides long. The record is from RefSeq and is a predicted model, not a curated record. NCBI's taxonomy places the organism in Eukaryota, Metazoa, Cnidaria, Anthozoa, Scleractinia, Merulinidae.